Molecule: ribosomal RNA, 443 nt
Filed under: uncultured bacterium
Lineage: Bacteria
Description: partial 16S ribosomal RNA
Rfam family: Bacterial small subunit ribosomal RNA
Source: RNAcentral
CCUACGGGCGGCAGCAGUGGGGAAUAUUGCACAAUGGGGGCAACCCUGAUGCAGCAAUGCCGCGUGAAGGAAGACGGUCUUCGGAUUGUAAACUUCUUUCAGUCGGGAAGAAAGAAAUAACGGUACCUACAUAAGAAACCCCCGCUAACUACGUGCAAGCAGCCGCGGUAAUACGUAGGGGGCAAGCGUUAUCCGGAAUUACUGGGUGUAAAGGGAGAGUAGGCGGUAAGGUAAGCGAUAUGUGAAAGCCUUAGGCUUAACCUGAGGAUUGCAUAACGUACUAGCUAGCUAGAGUACAGGAGAGGAGAGCAGAAUUCCUAGUGUAGCGGUGAAAUGCGUAGAGAUUAGGAAGAAUACCAGUGGCGAAGGCGGCUUUCUGGACAGAAACUGACGCUGAGGUGCGAAAGCGUGGGGAGCGAACAGGAUUAGAUACCCGAGUAGUC